AUUGAACGCUGGCGGCAUGCCUUACACAUGCAAGUCGAACGGCAGCGGGCCUUCGGGUGCCGGCGAGUGGCGAACGGGUGAGUAACAUAUCGGAACGUACCCCGUCGUGGGGGAUAACACAGCGAAAGCUGUGCUAAUACCGCAUACGACCUGAGGGUGAAAGCGGGGGAUCGCAAGACCUCGCGCGAUGGGAGCGGCCGAUAUCGGAUUAGCUUGUUGGUGAGGUAAAGGCUCACCAAGGCGACGAUUUGUAGCUGGUCUGAGAGGACGACCAGCCACACUGGAACUGAGACACGGUCCAGACUCCUACGGGAGGCAGCAGUGGGGAAUUUUGGACAAUGGGCGCAAGCCUGAUCCAGCCAUUCCGCGUGCAGGACGAAGGCCUUCGGGUUGUAACUAGCUUUGUACGGUAGCGAAAGGGUCCUGCCUAAUACUGGGGCGAUAUGACGGUACCGUAAGAAUAAGCACGGCUAACUACGUAGCCAGCAGCCGCGGUAAGU
Molecule: ribosomal RNA, 500 nt
Filed under: uncultured bacterium
Lineage: Bacteria
Description: bacterial SSU rRNA
Rfam family: Bacterial small subunit ribosomal RNA
Source: RNAcentral